CAGACUGCUGCCACACUGGCUGGCUAGGUCGCUCUGAACACACAAAAACAUUCAACACAAAGGACAAAAAGCAUGUGGAGGAGCUGUGCAAAAAUCAUAUAAAACAUCAUUAAACUUGAGGGAACAUUGCUCAAGAAGGGAAGAGUAUGGUGACAUUAUAAGAGCAAGAGGAACAGUGAGUUGAC
Non-coding RNA from Cricetulus griseus (Chinese hamster), 185 nucleotides. The record is from RefSeq and is a predicted model, not a curated record. Lineage: Eukaryota; Metazoa; Chordata; Mammalia; Rodentia; Cricetidae.